GCUGGCGGCGUGCCUAAUACAUGCAAGUCGAGCGAAUGGAUUAAGAGCUUGCUCUUAUGAAGUUAGCGGCGGACGGGUGAGUAACACGUGGGUAACCUGCCCAUAAGACUGGGAUAACUCCGGGAAACCGGGGCUAAUACCGGAUAACAUUUUGAACCGCAUGGUUCGAAAUUGAAAGGCGGCUUCGGCUGUCACUUAUGGAUGGACCCGCGUCGCAUUAGCUAGUUGGUGAGGUAACGGCUCACCAAGGCAACGAUGCGUAGCC
This 265-nucleotide ribosomal RNA is filed under the name Bacillus thuringiensis serovar ostriniae. RNAcentral describes it as "partial 16S ribosomal RNA". It matches the Rfam family "Bacterial small subunit ribosomal RNA", at positions 35 to 288 of the family's 1533-position model. The record is from RNAcentral. Lineage: Bacteria; Bacillati; Bacillota; Bacilli; Caryophanales; Bacillaceae.